GUUUCCCGAAGCCAUGGUUCGCAAAAUCUGGAAUGAAUGCCAAUACCUAACCGCUGAAACUUGUGUGAAAGAUCCUGCCAAAGGUGAAGUGUCUCCAGGAUACCUUGCUUGGUAUAAGAGAGAAUCUGAGCAUGAAAGACCACCCAAAAGGCCUCGCCUCCGAGAAUUCGUCGGGACAUCACAAGAACAGUGGGAUUGGUUAGCCAAAGAACAUGAAU
Molecule: long non-coding RNA, 218 nt
Filed under: Nicotiana benthamiana
Lineage: Eukaryota; Viridiplantae; Streptophyta; Magnoliopsida; Solanales; Solanaceae
Description: long non-coding RNA (NBEN_LNC030898)
Source: RNAcentral